GACGAACGCUGGCGGCGUGCUUAACACAUGCAAGUCGAACGGAAAGGCCCUGCUUUUGUGGGGUGCUCGAUUGGCGAACGGGUGAGUAACACGUGAGUAACCUGCCCUUGUCUUUGGGAUAACUUCAGGAAACUCGGGCUAAUACCGGAUAGGAUCUCCUGCUGCAUGGUGGGGGUUGGAAAGUUUCGGCGGUUGGGGAUGGACUCGCGGCUUAUCAGCUUGUUUGUGGGGUAGUGGGUUACCAAGGCUUUGACGGGUAGCCGGCCUGGGAGGGUGACCGGCCACCAGGGGCCUGCGAUACGGCCCAGACUCCUACGGGCCGCAACAGUGGAGAAUAUUGCGCAGUGGCCGGAAGCCAGAUACAGCAACGCCGCGUGCGGGAUGACGGCCUUCGGGUUGUAAACCGAUUUCGCCUGUGACGAAGAGUGAGUGACGGUAAUGGAUAAAGAAGCACCGGCUAACUACGUG
Molecule: ribosomal RNA, 468 nt
Filed under: uncultured bacterium
Lineage: Bacteria
Description: partial 16S ribosomal RNA
Rfam family: Bacterial small subunit ribosomal RNA
Source: RNAcentral